RNAcentral lists this ribosomal RNA (253 nucleotides) under uncultured bacterium. RNAcentral's name for it is "partial 16S ribosomal RNA". It matches the Rfam family "Bacterial small subunit ribosomal RNA", at positions 524 to 776 of the family's 1533-position model. The record is from RNAcentral.
UACAGGGGGGGCAAGCGUUGAUCGGAAUUACUGGGCGUAAAGGGCCAGUAGGCGGCCAACUAAGUCACACGUGAAAUCCCCAGGCUUAACCUGGGAACUGCGUGUGAUACUGGAUGGCUUGAAUUCGGGAGAGGGAUGCAGAAUUCCAGGUGUAGCGGUGAAAUGCGUAGAUAUCUGGAGGAAUACCGGUGGCGAAGGCGGCAUCCUGGACCGACAUUGACGCUGAACGGCGAAAGCUAGGGGAGCAAACGGG